AUGCACAUCUUUCUGGCCGCGUUCCUGCCGGCCGCCGUUGUAGUUCUAUACCUCAAGAUGCGGCCGCGCUUCGUGUACCUUGUCGACUACGCCUGCUUCCGCACCAAGCCCAGCCACCGCGUCCCCUUCGGCACAUUCCUCAAGCACGCCAAGCUUGUCACCUUCAUUGAGGGGGCCUCGAUUGACAAGCGCAUCAUCCGUUUCAUGACGCGGCUGCUGGAGCGAUCCGGGCUUGGGAAGGAGACGUGCCUGUCCCCGGCGCACCACUUCAUCCUGCCAUACCAAAACUUGGAGGCCUCGCACGAGGACGUGGAGCUCGUCAUCUUCUCUGCCAUUGACGACCUACUUGCCCAGACGAGCAUCAGCCCCGACGCCAUUGACUUCCUCGUCGUCAACUGCAGCCUCUUCGUGCCCAUCCCAUUCUUCACCGACUGA
This 435-nucleotide ribosomal RNA is filed under the name Triticum aestivum (bread wheat). RNAcentral describes it as "partial small subunit ribosomal RNA". The record is from RNAcentral. Lineage: Eukaryota; Viridiplantae; Streptophyta; Magnoliopsida; Poales; Poaceae.